Molecule: long non-coding RNA, 189 nt
Organism: Anneissia japonica
Lineage: Eukaryota; Metazoa; Echinodermata; Crinoidea; Comatulida; Comatulidae
Exons: 2
Source: RefSeq, a predicted model, not a curated record
AGCUCUAUUAUUAUAGUAUCUGUCGUGGACAAGUUGGAGACAUUUGGAAAUAUGUAACUACAACAGUUUGCUCCUCACAGACAGCAGUGAAGAUCAAAGGCAACUUGGCUUUGCAAUACCAACACCAACCUAUUUAUCAAAUAAAGUGUGAUAAACAGAAACAGUUUUCUGAAUAUAAAGUUAAACUGU